AAGUCGUAACAAGGUCUCCGUAGGUGAACCUGCGGAGGGAUCAUUAACACCGGUACGCAAGUACCUUCUUACCAAACUUAGAGAGACACGACCACAUCCUUUUUUCAUUAUUUAUGUUAAACCACCCCUUUCCAAAAUCGUCCAGCCCUAUGAUGAUAGUAUUUCGGUGCCGGGAGAAAUCCCAGUAGCGCACCAGCUUGAUUAUGUAUUGUAACAAGCAGCACAACUCUUAGCAACGGAUAUCUAGGUUCUC
Molecule: unclassified non-coding RNA, 253 nt
Filed under: fungal sp.
Lineage: Eukaryota; Fungi
Description: partial internal transcribed spacer region
Rfam family: Eukaryotic small subunit ribosomal RNA (bases 1-46)
Source: RNAcentral